GAAGUUCCUCAAGCAGUUACGUUUUAUUUAUACAUUUUAUGCCAGGUUAUUGGUAAGGAAAAAUCUUGAAGGGAUUUCUCCGGUAUAAAGAAAUGAGGAAAGUCCGGGCUCCAUAGGGCUGGUUGCUUCGUAAUGCGAAGUGCACGUAAGUGUGAGGAAAGUGCCACAGAAAUGAAGACCGCCCCGUGAGAUAAUUUCAUAUCUCACGGGGUAAGGGUGCAACGGUGAGGUAAGAGCUCACCAGAUUUUGCGGUGACGCAAGAACUAGGUAAACCCCGCUGAAGGUGCAAGGAUAAGGUAUAGGAUUGAAUCACAGUGGCCCGCUGCUCAAUUCUGCCAAAGCCGCUUGAGGGUAUUGGUGACAAUACUCCCAGAUAGAUAACUGCAUAAACAAAACCCGGCUUAUGAGGAACUUCAUUC
RNAcentral lists this RNase P RNA (420 nucleotides) under Candidatus Melainabacteria bacterium RIFCSPLOWO2_02_FULL_35_15. Its description in RNAcentral is "RNase P RNA component class A". It matches the Rfam family "Bacterial RNase P class A". Rfam says of the family: Ribonuclease P (RNase P) is a ubiquitous endoribonuclease, found in archaea, bacteria and eukarya as well as chloroplasts and mitochondria. Its best characterised activity is the generation of mature 5'-ends of tRNAs by cleaving the 5'-leader elements of precursor-tRNAs. The record is from RNAcentral. Lineage: Bacteria; Bacillati; Candidatus Melainabacteria.